Molecule: long non-coding RNA, 3588 nt
Organism: Orcinus orca (killer whale)
Lineage: Eukaryota; Metazoa; Chordata; Mammalia; Artiodactyla; Delphinidae
Exons: 2
Source: RefSeq, a predicted model, not a curated record
GCGGAUUCUUAACCACUGUGCCACCAGGGAAGUCCCCACACUUUUAAUUUUAUGACGCAUAGUUAGCUCCAAGGCUGGCAGGAUAAUCACCCAGAUAUGGUGGGCUAGUGUGGGGGAAUGCUCCAACAGUAAUGCUUUUACUGCAAACACAUCAGAAGAAGGUUCUGCCCUGAGAAGAGGCAUCACUGCCAAGUCACGAUGGGAACCCUAAGUUCAAGAAGCCCAAGCGAGAGGCAAGGAUAACACUAAGAGCAAAGGCUUGGAGCCCGCCAGUCAGCUCUGCCACCUCCUCGCUGACACUGGGCAAGAAGCUUCUCUACUCUGAGCCUCAGCUUCAUCUUAGAGUUGCUUUGGGGAUCAAAUGAGGUAAUGCGUGUAGAAUGCUUAGCACAGUGCCUGGUACAUCUUAAGUUCUCAUCAACUGAUGGCUUGAAAGAAAAACAAAAAAUUAAACAAAAAACCCUAACCCUACCGUUUUGUUCCUGUACUUGGGUAACCAACCCUAAAGAACGGUACUUGUCACUCCCAAGAAAUACAGGGAACCAUGUGAACAUUUCCUUUUGGAGAACUGUAGUCCCUUUCUUUCCUGUUUGACUUUAGCAGUGGGGGGAAGAUGAAAGAAUUGAGAGACACACAGCCUAAUUACCACUGACAUUUUUGACAAACAAUGACCCCAUCAGGCUCACUCUUCUAAAAUAAUGUCACAAAAAACAAUGGGAAGUCACCCACAUUCCUAUUCAGUUUAAACACUUCUGAAGCCAUGUUAUACAGUGUAAAAAUUUAAAUCCAUUUUUUUCUCUCUCCCAUUAUAAAAUAAUACAAAUGCUCCUAAACACUUGGCAGUUUGGAAAUAUAUGAAGAAUGGGAAGAACACCCAACCACCUAUAAUCUCACUACCUAAGGGCAACUAAAUGGGUUUGCAUGUCUUUCUAACUCAUUUGUACGAGCUCUAUAUGCAAUAAAGAUAUUAAUCAUCUAUUUACUUCAAAUAUUUGCUACAUGAAUUAAAAAAUGACUUACAGGGCUUCCCUGGUGGCGCAGUGGUUAAGCGUCCACCUGCCAAUGCAGGGGACACGGGUUCAAGCUCUGGUCCGGGAAGAUCCCACAUGCCGCAGAGCAACUAGGCCCGUGCACCACAACUACUGAGCCUGCACUCUAGAGCCCACGAGCCACAACUACUGAGCCUGCAUGCCACAACUGAGCCCGUGUGCCACAACUACUGAAGCCAGAGUGCCUAGAGCCUGUGCUCUGCAACAAGAGAAGACACUGCAAUGAGAAGCCCACACACUGCAAUGAAGAGUAGCCCCCGCUCUCUGCAACUAGAGAAAGCCCGCACACAACAACGAAGAUCCAACACUGCCAAAAAUGAAUAAAUAAAUAAAUUUAAAAAAACACAAAAAAUGAUUUAUAACAUUUUCUUUUGAUAAUUAUGAUUUUAAUAGUCCUCCCAGAGAUAAAACUUGGCUUUCACUACAGUUAUCUAUUCAAGCAGCCUACCUGAUAAUUUGCACCAGAAUCUUCUUUUUUGGUUUUCAGUGGUACCUUUGUGCCUGUAUUUUAAAAAAAUGUCAAAACUUCAGCUGUAAAGACCAUACAGUAUUGGAGAAAAACUUUGGGGGGAGAGUGAAAAGUCUGGGAUUCCAGAUCAGUCUCUUCAUGUACUGGCUGUAUAACUUUGCCCAGUACUACCCUCUCCGGAUUUGUUUCCUUUACUGUAAGGUGAAGGAGGAUACACAUUAGUUAUAUUCUAUAGGCCAUUUCUGUUUGAAAGUCAGUGAUUUUUUUUUCUGCCAUUUCUAAUAUGAAGCCACCACUAACUACCUAAAACACCAAAUCCAGCUCUUUGAGAGACUGCCACAACAAUGACUAUCCCAAUAAUGAUGUUGACCAUUUAAAAAUCAUUUUUCCUUCUACCUUAAAAAAUAUGGCAAUAUGGAUUAUUAUGCAACUUAAGAAUUAACCUAUUGUCUGGUUUAUUUGAAUUAGGAUAGGACAUAAUAAAAAACCAUAUUCUCUGUACUCACUUAAAACAUUUGUACCAGAGGUGGGAUGAUCCUCAAUGAGUUCCACGAAGUUAAGGGGGAAGAUCCCAGAUCUCUCUCGAAGUUCUCCUCUUGCCCACUCGUCAUUCACAUACUCUUUAAGAAUAAUAAUUUCUCCCUCUGAGAAACUUAACUCAUCCUUCUGGUCUCCAAUAUACUCAAAUCGAGCAACACAUCUUGGGCCUCUGAAGAAAGAAGACCACAUUUGUGGGUUAAACUAGAGAGUACUAACUUUCAGAAUGCUUUAAAACCUUCAUUUAGUCUUUCAAUAAAUAUUUAUUCUGUGUUUACUUUGGAACAAGGUAUACUAGGCAUAGUUUAAGAUUUUCCAUGAAAAAGAAUAAGGUAUAUUUCUAAAUGAUAGUCCUUACUUUUUAGAUAUGAACCUAUUCACUCAGAAAGGCUAAAGUCAAGGUCACAAGUACAGGCAGAAUCCCAGAUAAGCAGCUGGUGGUUGGUUAAUGUUGCACAUCUUUUGAUCACCUUUUCUUCAUGACAGAAUCUCCCUAGUCUCUUUGUCUUUGUAUCCUUGGGCCACAGUAAUCCAGGGCCAAGUCUGAACCCUCUCAGUCAUAAAUGCACUGAGUUUAGGAGUGUUAACCCUGAGAAUCUCAGGGCAAGACAUCAAACUUCCAUGGCAGAAAUGCAAUGGGCACCAGCUGGGCAGGGUAGAUGCUCAAUGUAUGCUGAAUCAGUGAGUUGUGUAUAUAGAUGAAUGGCCUUCAAAACUAGAAGGUUCGAAGAAAACAGAAACUCGGCUUAUUAUCUUAUAACAUUUAAUCUUAUAUCUUACACUGUUGUUUUAAAAAUGAUUUUUGUAUCUCCUUUAAAAAGGCUUCAUUUCUGAGAAUUAGAAUGAUCUACAAUUUUGACUGAAAAUAAGAUAAAAACAGAGAUGAAAUUGUGUCCCUAGAAGACAUGACUGAUUCCCAAACUUUUGAUUUGAGGCUUUGGAAAGGAAGUUUCAACAGCUAUGACUAAGGAGAUGCAAUUGCCUGAAGAGAAUAGGUGGGUACUUGCUCCAAUCAAAGUCUGAUUUAAGUCAGGUCAAUGGAUCAACAGCCAUGAAAGCCCACUUUAAAUUCAACCUGCUGACACAGUAAACACUGCUUAAAAAUAGGAGAAAAACUGAACCUGAAACAGAAUUAAACUAUUGUGGCAUCAGAAGUUUUCUUAUUUGUGAUAACCUUUGCAUUUAUUUUCUGAAGUCCUCAGGGAGCAUAUCUUAUGUCUGACCGAUUCAAAGACAGGUUUACAGUCUUCAGCAGGUACUGAAUUCUAUUAAUUUGCCCAUUUAACUGGAAUAUAAAGUUGCAUUGUGGCAAUGUUUUAAAUCACAAAGGAGUUACAGUGAUGCAGAAAAGGGUACAUAAAUUCACGGAAAGGUCUUCAAACAUAAAGAAGACCCCUCCAAAUUAACUCUUCCUUUACUUUCUUCUAGUUCCUCUCAAAAACAAAACAAUACAAAAUGCCUAGCAGUUUUUGUAGGGUUCAUAUUUCUGUUAGGUUUACUUUUUUGUUCAUUAAAAAAAUAUAUAUUUAUUUA